Molecule: long non-coding RNA, 1432 nt
Organism: Xiphophorus couchianus (Monterrey platyfish)
Lineage: Eukaryota; Metazoa; Chordata; Actinopteri; Cyprinodontiformes; Poeciliidae
Exons: 2
Source: RefSeq, a predicted model, not a curated record
CUGAAAUGAGUUCAGAAGAAAUCCAGAAGAAAAAGGAAGGAGAGCAGAGGAGCAGCUGCCUGCAAGGACCGAUGUUAGUCUGACUGGACCAACAGGGAAGCGUUCAGACUGACAGGCAGGAACCGGGAGGUGAAUGAGUUGGGUUACGGUAAAACCCGAACCAGAGAGCGAGCACUGCAAAACUCUAACAAAGUCUUUUAGAUUCUAGUGCAAAAUAUCUCAGCACACUUAAAAUAAGACAAAACUGACUCAUCAGUAACUUUUCAAUAAGGAGCUUUUUAAAGUCAAUAAUUCAUUAAUAAUGAUUAGAAAUAAUAGUCCCACUGGCCGAUUAUUUCACUGAUGAGACAUUUUUCCUAUAAGUGUAACUUGUAUUUUUUUUUCAUUUCAUAUUAUUGACUUAAACCAAGCUUCUAUUUCUUGCUGAAAAGUUACUUAUUUCAAGUUAUAUUUGCACUAAACUAGACACCUUGUUAAGAUUUUGUGUUUUUGCAGUGUGAGCUGUUAAAUUUCUGAAAAAUGACCAGCAGUCGGUUCUCUGAGCCAUCAAAAGAAGAAAAGAAACACUUUAACAAGCUCGGUCAGGCAGUGGUUAGGCUUUCAGAUCAAACAGCAUGAAACCACACACACACACACACACGCACACACACACACACGCACACACACGCACACACACGCACACACACCCACACACCUCUGUACUUCUAACCAACUGAGUACUUUAUUGACUUCAUUUUAACAGUUUUCACACCUGAUGGUCCAGUAGACUCAGUUUGAUUUGGGACCAAAGUUGCAACAUUUGGUCCAUUUUCAGCUGCUGCGUUUUUUUGUUUGUUUUUGUUAUUUUAUGUCAUGCAGUCCACACUCCUUACCAGUUGGUGGCAGCAAUGCUAACCUAACGUUUCUUGCCAACCGCCCAUAAAUUUCAAGAAGAAGAAGAACUUCCUUCUUCACAAAAUGUGAAGAAGGAAGUGGCGUCAGAUUUUAGCGGUUAGAGGAUUUCUCUUUUGUCUUUGGUAGAAAAACACAAGUCAUAUUUCCCGCUAUCGCUAGGCUAACACGUUUGUUUUGGUUGUAUUUACCCAGAAUGCCCUGCGUUUUAAUCCACUUCUUGCUUUCAGAGCGGUCUACGGUCUGCUUAGUGUUCACAUAUUCAUUAAAACUGCACCAGAGUUUGUUUCAACCGAACAGAGACCGAGGCUUGUCGCAAACCAGAGUUUUCACAUCCCCAACCGAACCGGACUUUGUAGACAAACGGACUGGAGUUGGAUUAAAUCGGACCAGGACCAGGACUGGUGUGAAUGCAGCAGAACCAGAUUACAGAUCCAUACCCGCGGCCUGUUUGCUGUCUGUUCUGUUAAAUCAUCUAUUUGUUUCUGUAAUGGCUCAGAAAGAAUCAAUAAAGUUUGACUUUGCAUAUUUAACAAUUAAA